This 369-nucleotide ribosomal RNA is filed under the name uncultured bacterium. RNAcentral describes it as "bacterial SSU rRNA". It matches the Rfam family "Bacterial small subunit ribosomal RNA", at positions 29 to 424 of the family's 1533-position model. The record is from RNAcentral.
AGCGAACGCUGGCGGCAGGCUUAACACAUGCAAGUCGAGCGCCCCCGCAAGGGGGAGGCGGCAGACGGGUGAGUAACACGUGGGAACGUACCCUUUGGUUCGGAACAACACAGGGAAACUUGUGCUAAUACCGGAUAAGCCCUUACGGGGAAAGAUUUAUCGCCGAAGGAUCGGCCCGCGUCUGAUUAGCUAGUUGGUGAGGUAACGGCUCACCAAGGCGACGAUCAGUAGCUGGUCUGAGAGGAUGAUCAGCCACACUGGGACUGAGACACGGCCCAGACUCCUACGGGAGGCAGCAGUGGGGAAUAUUGGACAAUGGGCGCAAGCCUGAUCCAGCCAUGCCGCGUGAGUGAUGAAGGCCUUAGGGUU